RNAcentral lists this long non-coding RNA (629 nucleotides) under Anser brachyrhynchus (Pink-footed goose). RNAcentral's name for it is "lncRNA (ENSABRG00000020350.1)". Lineage: Eukaryota; Metazoa; Chordata; Aves; Anseriformes; Anatidae. The record is from RNAcentral.
AGUUCUGUAUCCCGGAUGGUACCUGGUCAGAAGCCCUGCUGGGUGAUGGAGCACGGAGCAGGGGCAUCGCCUCCUUCCCCCGAGGAGGCUUCACUAAGGCAGAUACUCCGUGUCUCCUCGAUGUGUGCUUGAGCUGUACUGGAUCAGAGACAGAGCAGGGAGGGGAUCAUAAGAAGACGAUGUACUUUCUCUUCCUCUCCCACAACCAGAAAUUUUGGUUCUCUUUGCAGGUGCACUCUGCUCCCAGCCUGCUCUGGCGCAGUCUGCAGGCCAGUCUGCCGCAGGGAUUGCCCAGCAGAAGUCUGAGCAGCGUUGGUUUGCCCGUGUUUGACAGAUGGAAAGUCACUGAAACGAAGCAGUGGGGCCUGUGUCCUUGGCAGGCAGGCGUUGUCCACAGGGAGCCCUGGGGCUUGUGCCGGAUGCGUUGGAUUAGUGUCCGAGAGGCAGAUCGCAAUGAUUUCCACGGUGAGUUGGUUGGCUUGUCCUUCACGUUUCUGCCAUAUGGGCCUUGGGCCGGUCCAGCUCCUUCCUUGUGCUUGGGUGGAUGGUCCUGGUAUCAGCACAGCGUGGGAGGAGGCAAAAUCCCUCCUUGCUGUGAUGACCUGACUGUGCAUCGGGACGAGCAAUAG